AAGAGAACCCUGGAGACUGAAGCCUCCUGUUUAUCCACAGAAUAAAUACAGCACAGACUACAGUCCUGCAAGCUGCCCCCACUCUACACCACUCAUGUGCAUUUCCUUGGACUCAGAGGCUAGAAAGUAGCUCCGUCUCCAUCCACAUUCAGGCUUUACCCUCU
RNAcentral lists this small RNA (164 nucleotides) under Crocodylus porosus (Australian saltwater crocodile). RNAcentral's name for it is "TUC338 (ENSCPRG00005016700.1)". The record is from RNAcentral. Lineage: Eukaryota; Metazoa; Chordata; Crocodylia; Crocodylidae.